ACGUGCAAGUCGAACGCGAAAUCCCGAGCAAUCGGGAAAGUAGAGUGGCGCACGGGUGAGUAACACGUAGGUAAUCUACCUUCGGGUGGGGAAUAACAACCGGAAACGGUUGCUAAUACCGCAUAAUGCAGCGGCACCUAAUGGUGACAGUUGUUAAAGCGGGGGAUCGCAAGAUCUCGCGCCUGAAGAGGAGCCUGCGGCGGAUUAGCUAGUUGGUAGGGUAAUGGCCUACCAAGGCGACGAUCCGUAACCGGCCUGAGAGGGCGGUCGGUCACACUGACACUGACAUACGGGUCAGACUCCUACGGGAGGCAGCAGUCGGGAAUUUUGGGCAAUGGGCGAAAGCCUGACCCAGCAACGCCGCGUGAAGGAUGAAAUCCCUCGGGAUGUAAACUUCGCAAGAACGGGAAGAAUAAGUAGGGGAUAAUACCCCCUAUGAUGACGGUACCGUUUGUAAGCUCCGGCUAACUCCGUGCCAGCAGCCGCGGUAAUACGGGGGGAGCAAGCGUUGUUCGGAUUUACUGGGCGUAAAGGGCGCGUAGGCGGCCAGCACAAGUCAGUUGUGAAAUCUCCGAGCUUAACUCGGAAAGGUCAACUGAUACUGUGCGGCUAGAGUGCGGAAGGGGCAACUGGAAUUCUUGGUGUAGCGGUGAAAUGCGUAGAUAUCAAGAGGAACACCUGCGGCGAAGGCGGGUUGCUGGGCCGACACUGACGCUGAGGCGCGAAAGCUAGG
RNAcentral lists this ribosomal RNA (733 nucleotides) under uncultured soil bacterium. RNAcentral describes it as "bacterial SSU rRNA". It matches the Rfam family "Bacterial small subunit ribosomal RNA", at positions 53 to 764 of the family's 1533-position model. The record is from RNAcentral.